ACUCAACACUAAUUUGUUUGAAAAGGGUGAGUUUAGAUUGUAAAAGCAAGCCUUACUUGUAUAAGGAUCCUUGAUCAGUCUGGUAGCCCUAAACCUGUUUUUAGGAGUUU
RNAcentral lists this small RNA (110 nucleotides) under Kriegella aquimaris. Its description in RNAcentral is "6S-Flavo RNA". It matches the Rfam family "6S-Flavo RNA". Lineage: Bacteria; Pseudomonadati; Bacteroidota; Flavobacteriia; Flavobacteriales; Flavobacteriaceae. The record is from Rfam by way of RNAcentral.